Molecule: ribosomal RNA, 497 nt
Filed under: uncultured bacterium
Lineage: Bacteria
Description: partial 16S ribosomal RNA
Rfam family: Bacterial small subunit ribosomal RNA
Source: RNAcentral
GAUGAACGCUGGCGGCGUGCCUAAUACAUGCAAGUCGAGCGAACAGACGAGGAUCUUUCUCCUCUUACUUUAUCGUCGUACGUGUGAGUAACACUUGGAUAACCUACCUAUAAUACUGGGAUAACUUCUGGAAACCGGAGCUAAUACCGGAUCAUAUAUUUAACCGCUUGGUUCAAUAGUUAUAUACGUUUUUGCUUUCUCUUUUAGAUUGAUCCUCGCCGCAUUAGCUAGUUGGUAAGGUAACGGCUUACCAAGGCAACGAUGCGUAGCAGACCUGAGAGGGGGAUCGGCAAAACUGGAACGGAGAAACGGUAAAGACGCCGAAGGGAGGCAGCAGUAGGGAAUAUUCCGAAAUGGGAGAAAGCAUGACGGAGAAACGCCGAGUGAGUGAUGAAGGUAUACGGAUAGUAAAACUCUGUUAUUAGGGAAGAACAAAUGUGUAAGUAACUAUGCACGUCUUGACGGUACCUAAUCAGAAAGCAACGGAUAACUACGUG